UGCCACAAGAAUUGCUGUUGAAACAGUCCC
RNAcentral lists this non-coding RNA (30 nucleotides) under Homo sapiens (human). Lineage: Eukaryota; Metazoa; Chordata; Mammalia; Primates; Hominidae. The record is from RNAcentral.